GACGUAGGGUGCAAGCGUUGUCCGGAUUUACUGGGCGUAAAGGGCGCGUAGGCGGUCUGUUAAGUGUAGAGUGAAAUCUCCAGGGCUCAACCCGGAAACUACUCUGCAUACUGGCAGACUUGAGGGACGAAGAGGUAUGUGGAAUUCCUGGUGUAGCGGUGAAAUGCGUUGAUAUCAGGAGGAACACCCAUGGCGAAGGCAGCAUACUGGUCGUUUCCUGACGCUGAGGCGCGAAAGCGUGGGUAGCAAACAGG
RNAcentral lists this ribosomal RNA (254 nucleotides) under uncultured bacterium. RNAcentral describes it as "partial 16S ribosomal RNA". It matches the Rfam family "Bacterial small subunit ribosomal RNA", at positions 524 to 776 of the family's 1533-position model. The record is from RNAcentral.